UCUCAGAGAAAACAUCUUUGAUGCACUGGAUCGUCUCUCUCCAAGCCUGAUGGAGCUCUUUAGGAAGAAGAAAGGCCUUACUGGUCAGCUUUUGGCUGAGCUUUUACGUCAGACAAAGACCACCGAGCCAACAGACAUCAGGUGACUUUGUCUUCAGGGACUGCCAGUCAUCAUGGGAGAUGAUCCUUCUGCCUUCUUCAAGACUUGCUCCAUAAGAUGCAACUGACAAGGACUUGUACAGUCAAACUCCUAUGGGAAUCCUCUCCAUUGAUGAAGGAAACCCUCAGUUGAACCCAUCCUGAGUGGGAAUCGUCUUGGAAGGGAGUGUGGUGAUGGAUGAGCUCGCCAUCCUUCCUCAGGCCUUCUGUGCCUUUUUUGGACUGAUCUACGCCCUGCACCUGGAUUAUCCCAAGUACAUUAAAAACACUUCAUACUUUGCCCAACAGGUAAUGCUCAACCUGGUCAAAAGUCAGCUGGCACCAAAAAUUCAGACUCUGAAAAACCAGCUUGCAGUGUGAAGUGGGUUUACUGUUCAGGAUAUCAGGUGCUUAGUUUUCAAUGUUGCACUUUUAGAAAAACAUGUUUGCAGUGGUUGUACUUCAUGUCUUAUGGUAUUGGCACUGAUAUCGUGGUUUGAUCCCGUUCUGAUUCAGUAGUUCACAAGGUAGGGCAGUUGUCUCCUGACCAGCAAGUUGGUGGUUUGACUUCCGG
Monopterus albus (swamp eel) is the source of this 711-nucleotide long non-coding RNA. RefSeq lists it as uncharacterized. The record is from RefSeq and is a predicted model, not a curated record. The transcript has 3 exons. Lineage: Eukaryota; Metazoa; Chordata; Actinopteri; Synbranchiformes; Synbranchidae.